AACCCUUGUCUUUAAUUGCCAUCAUUUAGUUGGGCACUUUAAAGAGACUGCCGGUGUUAAGCCGGAGGAAGGUGGGGAUGACGUCAAGUCCUCAUGGCCUUUAUGCCCAGGGCUACACACGUGCUACAAUGGGCGGUACAAAGAGAAGCAACCUCGCGAGGGUGAGCAAAUCUCAAAAAGCCGUUCUCAGUUCGGAUUGAAGUCUGCAACUCGACUUCAUGAAGUCGGAAUCGCUAGUAAUCGCGGAUCAGCAUGCCGCGGUGAAUACGUUCCCGGGCCUU
RNAcentral lists this ribosomal RNA (281 nucleotides) under uncultured Syntrophaceae bacterium. RNAcentral describes it as "partial 16S ribosomal RNA". It matches the Rfam family "Bacterial small subunit ribosomal RNA", at positions 1100 to 1382 of the family's 1533-position model. Lineage: Bacteria; Pseudomonadati; Thermodesulfobacteriota; Syntrophia; Syntrophales; Syntrophaceae. The record is from RNAcentral.